AGGAGAGAACAAGAAACGCUAGCGUGAGGGACGUUUUGAACACGAUGAGCGGCCAACAGGAACUGCUUGCACAAACAAUGUUAGAGAGAAUCCACACACGGCUCCAGCAUAUUGUCUGUCAGCAACCCCUUGACCUGGAUUACCUUGAAUUUGUGUGUUUUCAGGAGGCUGUUCUAUUUAGUGCUGCCUCUAACCAGGUUCUCAUCCCAAAAGGCAUUUUAGAUGCACUCACAGAGCUGCACAAGUUGGUUAAAGGCGCGGUCACACUAGACUUUAAACGUGCGAAAAUAUUUCGGACACCGCUGCGAAUAUCGGCGGGAGCAAUAAAACGGUCUUUCCUCAAUUAUCAAAACAUGGAUUAAUAUGUGCUUGUACUGUGUCUUUUGCGACGGCGUCAAAAGCGUCUUAUUAUAUUGUACUCCCCAUCUCUCUCUCUCUUUAUAAAUAUUCUUGUUCUUGUACACCCUAAGCAAUAAAAAAUUAUAAAACA
Carassius auratus (goldfish) is the source of this 490-nucleotide long non-coding RNA. RefSeq lists it as uncharacterized. The transcript has 2 exons. NCBI's taxonomy places the organism in Eukaryota, Metazoa, Chordata, Actinopteri, Cypriniformes, Cyprinidae. The record is from RefSeq and is a predicted model, not a curated record.